GAUCAAGGCCCUUUCGGGGAACUGAGGCGCACAUCGUGUCAGAGCCGGGCGCGUGAAACUCCUGGGCCGGACACGGCACAGGAGGCGCCGCUCGCACCUGGGCACGAGGGGGGCCGCCAGGCGCGUGCUGACCCUCCCCGGGUCCUCCUGCGGCCAGACAAGUGGCCGUGUGGAGGAGGAGGAGGAGGAGGCGACGGGCGGGCCGCUCGGAGCAGGAAACCGAGCCGCCCAGGCGAGAAGGGGAACUGCAUAGCGGGUUUCUCCGCCUGCUCGCCGAGGGGCAGAGACAAUUGAAGAAGACUUUCUGAGAACGCCUGUGUGUGAGCACACCAUCGACUUCCCUGCCUGCCCGUUGGUGUACAGGCCCCUCUGUGGAACCGAUGGGAACACUUACGACAAUGAAUGUUUGCUCUGCAUUACUCGAACGUAA
This is an RNA transcript of Alligator mississippiensis (American alligator), 430 nucleotides long. It is a transcript of the gene named serine peptidase inhibitor Kazal type 4, with no coding region annotated. The transcript is spliced from 3 exons. Lineage: Eukaryota; Metazoa; Chordata; Crocodylia; Alligatoridae. The record is from RefSeq and is a predicted model, not a curated record.